This 166-nucleotide unclassified non-coding RNA is filed under the name soil metagenome. RNAcentral describes it as "partial contains 5.8S ribosomal RNA, internal transcribed spacer 2, and large subunit ribosomal RNA". The record is from RNAcentral.
AACGCACGAGACCUGCGGACCUGCGGAGGGAUCAUUAGUGAACGCCCUCACGGGCUUAUAACUAUUCCAAACCUCUGUGAAUCGUGCCCUUCGGGGCUAUUUUACAAACAUGGUGUAAUGAACGUCAUAUAUCAUAACAAAACAAAACUUUUAACAACGGAUCUCU